CAAGAAACUAGAAAGUUUGAAAAUCUAAAGACAGAAUUGUAAGUGACAAAUCAAAAUGAUAAAUUGAAGAGUUAUAAAUAAAAAUAAGGAUGUGUAGUAAACUUAUCACUAUUUGUCAUGUUUACAAAAUGUAUACCACAGCUUGUCAUUAAAAUCACAACUGCUGCUCAUAACAAACCACUGCUCCGGGGUUGUGUUCACGGUGUGUGUGGGUCUAAUUUCUUAGUGAUUUACUGGUGCAUGUUAUUCUAAAGGAAGCAGUUUUUGUAAUCGUUAAUCAAAAUGUAAUACAUUUCUCUGCCUCUGAAAUUACUUUAUUUUUCAGUUCGUUGUUUUUUUGUUUUGUUUUGUUUUUUUCUUGUUGACCAUCAUGGACAUGUCACAUUAUAGAAGUACUGUAGCUGGCAAUUAAUAAUGUCUCAUAAUUACCAAGUAUAAUUUUCUAAGGCUAAUAAAAACAUUUUUUCAAAUGUUUUUGAUAGUCUCUUAAUGCACCACGUCUGCAUUUAUUUGACUGAAAAUGUAGUAAAAACAGUAAUAUUUUGAAAUAUUUAGUGCUGUCAAACAAUUAACCGCGAUUAAACGCAUCCAAAAUAAAAGCUUUUGUUUACAUAAUAUAUGUAUGUGUAGUGUGUAUAUUUAUGUAUAUAUAAAUACACACACAUAGAGUAUAUAUAUUUUAAUAUUUACAUGUAUAUACAUUUAUACAGUGCCGUGAAAAGCUUUUUGCCCCCUUCCUGUUUUUUUUUUUUGUUUUUUUUAUAUUUGUCACAUUUAAAAGAUUCAGAUCAUGAAACAAAUUUUUAAAUUACACAAAGAUAAUGCAAGUAAAUACAAAAUGCAGUUUUUAAAUGAUGAUUUCAUUUAUUAAGGGAAAAAAUCUGUCCAAACCUACCUGGCCCUACGUGAAAAUUGUAUUUCCCCCCUCCAGUUAAAUCAUGAAAGAACUGUGAUUAACCACAUUAUUUUAGAAAGCGGAGUUAAAUUUCACUAGCCAAACCCAGGAUUGAGUACUGCCAGAUCUGCUGAAUCAAGAAGUCACUUAAAUAGAAGCUGUCUGACAAAAUGAAGCAUCCUUAAAGAGCAACACAUCAUGUCAUGAUCUAAAGAAAUUCAAGAACAGAUGAGAAACAAAAUAGUUGACAUGUAUCAGUCUGGAAAGGGUUUUAAAGCCAUCUCUAAGG
Long non-coding RNA from Cyprinus carpio carpio, 1184 nucleotides. Lineage: Eukaryota; Metazoa; Chordata; Actinopteri; Cypriniformes; Cyprinidae. The record is from Ensembl.